UGGGGAAUAUUCCACAAUGGGGGAAACCCUGAUGCAGCGAUGCCGCGUGAGCGAAGAAGGUUUUCGAAUCGUAAAGCUCUGUCCUAUGAGAAGAUAAUGAUGGCAUCAUAGGAGGAAGCCCCGGCUAAAUACGUGCCAGCAGCCGCGGCAAUACGUAGGGGGCUAGCGUCAUCCGGAUUUACUGGGCGUAAAGGGUGCGUAGGUGGUCCUUCAAGUCGGUGGUUAAAGGCUACGGCUCAACCGUAGUAAGCCGCCGAAACUGGAGGACUUGAGUGCAGUAGAGGAAAGUGGAAUUCCCAGUGUAGCGGUGAAAUGCGUAGAUAUUGGGAGGAACACCAGUGGCGAAGGCGGCUUUCUGGACUGCAACUGACACUGAGGCACGAAAGCGUGGGUAGCAAACAGG
RNAcentral lists this ribosomal RNA (403 nucleotides) under Verrucomicrobiota bacterium. Its description in RNAcentral is "Verrucomicrobia bacterium partial 16S ribosomal RNA". It matches the Rfam family "Bacterial small subunit ribosomal RNA", at positions 355 to 776 of the family's 1533-position model. The record is from RNAcentral. Lineage: Bacteria; Pseudomonadati; Verrucomicrobiota.